ACCGUUUUCAUCAUUUACUCUCUUUUUCUCCACUUCCCGAUCUUCUCCUUUUCUCACGCCACGAUCAUCUCACCGUGCUUCGCACGACUACAAAGAUAUCAUAUCACUCUCGACGAUUCGUCAAUCUUGGGUUAAAUCAUGAACCAACCAACGCUUCGAUAUCAUCUUGACUCGAGCCACAGCCGCAAAACUUCCUCCAGUCUAGCCCACACUACUAUCACUAGCUCCGAGUGGUCUGAAUCUUCUCGCACGUUUUCUGAAUUAUUCCAGAUGAAACAGAAGACAGACACGCUAUUUACAAGAAUAAAGAGUUAUGAACACGAACGGCUAUUACGGAUCGCGUGACCGAAUCGGAUCCCUGAUACGGCGUCCUCGUGCAACGUUUCGAGGAAAUCGGAAUGCAUCGGAUGGUCGUUUGUUGUAAAUUUCGCCGGAUUUUCAUCUACAUUCUAUGAAAAAGCAGUCGAUGUAAAAUUCAUCGGGUCUAAAAUUGCAGACCGCAUUUCCGUUGACGAAGGAAAACGGUAUGUGGUUGUGCGCAAUGAGGGCAAAAAAGUUGUACGGAAAAAGGUAUACGCGUGUAAGCGUCGCGGUGGUUAUAUAGGUAUAUAGGCGUCGACGUUGACGUCGAGGAAGAGAAGAAAAGGAAAAAGAAGAAGGAGGAGGAGCAGGAAUACGAUGGCAGGUGCCAGGGGGACGCAACAAUCUCAUUAGUUCUGCAAUUUUGAUGUCAGAGUCCUCCGACCCAAGAUGGUUGGCACGUGCUUCAACCUUCUACCUCCGGUUAAACUUCCAUUCUGCCGGCAGUGGAGCACACCAAAGUCAGAAGUCUCAGAACCAGCCCGGAUGGAUGCGAUCAACGAGCUCUCGCCGACAAGGAUGAAAUAAAAAAAAAAAAAAAAAGUUAAUCGAAAAAUAUGCAAUGUCCAAUACCGUCAAUUACCGAUUUUCCAUAAACCCUGACGCAGCGGGAUUUAUCCGCACACGCCAGCGUCGACGAGGAACGGCAAAAAAAGUGAAAAUAAUCAGAAACAAAAAAGAGAAAAAAUGAAAAAAGAUGUUCACGAUACUUGGAAGAGCAUUGCUUAAUGUCGACGAUAAAAAUCCAAAGAACCGAUUAAAUCGUCAAUUUUCCCUUCCUUUUGAUCGCUUUCAUUUAAUAUCACAAAUCAGAUCGACGUAGAAAAAAAUCACCCACUGUUUGGAUAAUGUACGUAUAUAUUCUUCCCCCCGAAGUAUAUUUUUUUACUUACUUUGCAUUAAUCAACUGACGACGAACAUCUGGGAAGAAAGGAAAUUAAUUGAAGGGCACAAGAAUUAUUUGACAUUAUCGACUGUUUUGAAAAUAUCCUAUACGGUACAGCGGAGGCGGCAUCAUUCUCCAGACAAUAUUCGAACAUUUUUAGAUACAUCACAUUCUGUCCGUCCAAUUUCACCUUAUACCUCCCGUGCGCUGCUGUUGGUUUUCCCCUCAACGUUUCCCAACUUUCUUUAUUUAUACAUAAAAGAGAAAAGGAACAAAGAAAACACGCCGAAAUAAGAGGGGAAUAAAAAAUGAGGAAAAAGACUAGAAAUGAAAUACGCAUAGGAUCGUCGUAAGCCCAACAAAGAAAUGAACAACCGACGCCGGAGGGUCAACGUUCGUGUAAACGAGGCUCAGAAAAUGGGAUUUUACUAUUGCGAACUUUACGGCUUUGAAUGCUCCACACUUUUCACAAACAAGAUGCAAUUUCAUUUCGCGUUCCUGAAACACAGCGGACUGUUACUCGGAGUAUUUUCUAGACAUUUUUGUAGACGAAAACAAAAUAGGUGAAAAAAUAUAGAUGAAACCGUAAACCGCGUUUUCUGAUUAAAGUCGAGGUGCGUUUUCAGCGCAGCAGAAGUUAAGUAUCUCACGUAUUUUAAUGAUCGUCGUACGAUCAAUACGGCUCUCUGUUCUCCAACUUAGGUGGGUGAAAUAAUAAGGAAGCAAAAAAAGAAAAAGAGGUGCAAGGAAAAUGGAAGGAACUGGGGGGGAAUAGGAACAGUGUUAAUUGGCAAUCAAUGUUAAUUAAUUUGAAGAAAGGUCAUAAUUUGAAUAUGUUCGACAAAAAGUCGAAUAUUGAGAAGUUUCGCGAAGUUACGCGCGCUCGAGCUUUCGAAAAUACAAAACAAUUCGGAUGUAAAUAUUGGAAAAUAGUUUUGCACUUUUCGUUCGAACGUCUAUCAAAUGUUUGAAUCAACGUUAUACUACAACGGAACUUUCCUCCAGCUGACGUUUCUGAUAAGUAAAACAGACGAAAGAAAAGAAAAGAAAAGAAACGAACUGUAUCUCUGAUAUUUUUGAAAAAAUUCGUAUCUGUUAAUACGUUUUUCUGGCUAUCAAAUAUGCCUAGCGUAUAUCGCGCGAGAUUCGUUAUUUGACAAUGGGAUAUCGCGAUGGAUAUAUAGGUAUAUACGUACGUUCGCGGCAGGUCAGGGCAACAGAAUUUCUCCGGCAAAAUUUGUAUACACAAAUUGUGCGAUGUAUCUCGUUAUCUACUACGGUACCGGCUGCUGUUGCA
Long non-coding RNA from Athalia rosae (coleseed sawfly), 2543 nucleotides. RefSeq lists it as uncharacterized. The record is from RefSeq and is a predicted model, not a curated record. The transcript has 3 exons. NCBI's taxonomy places the organism in Eukaryota, Metazoa, Arthropoda, Insecta, Hymenoptera, Athaliidae.